Molecule: ribosomal RNA, 243 nt
Filed under: uncultured bacterium
Lineage: Bacteria
Description: partial 16S ribosomal RNA
Rfam family: Bacterial small subunit ribosomal RNA
Source: RNAcentral
GAUCCUGGCUCAGAUUGAACGCUGGCGGCAGGCUUAACACAUGCAAGUCGAACGGUAACAUAAAGGAGCUUGCUUCUUUGAUGACGAGUGGCGGACGGGUGAGUAAUGCUUGGGAAUCUAGCUUAUGGAGGGGGAUAACUACGGGAAACUGUAGCUAAUACCGACGUAGAAUCGAGAGAUGAAAGUGUGGGACCUUCGGGCCACAUGCCAUAGGAUGAGCCCAAGUGGGAUUAGGUAGUUGGG